Molecule: long non-coding RNA, 734 nt
Organism: Eucalyptus grandis
Lineage: Eukaryota; Viridiplantae; Streptophyta; Magnoliopsida; Myrtales; Myrtaceae
Exons: 2
Source: RefSeq, a predicted model, not a curated record
UCACCUUAAAAGUGAGGGGGUUCUCGACUGGUUUUGGGGGUUCUCGGCUGUUCUUGGGUUCAAGCGAAGAACAGAGAGCACUGGAGAGCGAGCUUGAGAGAGAGGGGGCGAAGGACAGAGGGUUCAAGGGAAAAACGAAGCGAAGAACAGAGAGCGCCGGAGAGCGAUCUAGAUAGAGAGUGCAAGCUCGAGAGAGUGUUUGGUCGUCGCCGGAGGUCCGUUCGUCAGCUGCCAUUCGCCGCAGUCCUCCUCUCGAACCAGGGUUAUGCGUCUAUGGUCCAAUGACAUUUGGAGAGACGCUCCAGUUGCAUAUGAUAUGAUAGUCUUGUUACAUCUGCAAACAGCAACGGAUGGUCUAGGGUGGAGAGAACAGCAUGUAAAAUGCACGCUAUCAUGUUAUACGACUCGCAAAAAAUCAUGAUUUGUGGAUGGAUGAUUUGGGAGGUAUCACCUGAACAAUUUGGAUCGCAUUGGCAGCUCUGUAGAGCAGUCUAGUUUAUCCAAAUUUUGAAUUAAGUGAAUAUGUUGUGAGAAAGAUUUGUUCACUUAGGAGAGUCUAGAUAUCACUAUCAGCGUUGGAAGGAACCCUACAAUGUGAAGAGCAUUACUGGAUAAAAAUUUCACUUUCUUUUGCCAUGUCUGGCGUAGCACUGAGGCUUUUUUUGACUGUGGUAAGGAACAGAAGAUCCCCAUCUUUUAUUUGAAAUGAGAUUUAUUGUGUCAGUUUGGCCAAA